Molecule: ribosomal RNA, 253 nt
Filed under: uncultured bacterium
Lineage: Bacteria
Description: partial 16S ribosomal RNA
Rfam family: Bacterial small subunit ribosomal RNA
Source: RNAcentral
UACGUAGGCAGCGAGCGUUGUUCGGAAUUACUGGGCGUAAAGAGUGUGUAGGCGGUGCUCUAAGUUCGGUGUGAAAUCUCCCGGCUUAACUGGGAGGGUGCGCUACAAACUGUCUGACUAGAGUGUGGGAUGGGUAAGUGGAAUUCCUGGUGUAGCGGUGAAAUGCGUAGAUAUCAGGAGGAACACCGGUGGUGUAGACGGCUUACUGGACCAUAACUGACGCUGAGGCACGAAAGCGUGGGUAGCAAACAGG